This 207-nucleotide long non-coding RNA is filed under the name Homo sapiens (human). RNAcentral describes it as "non-protein coding lnc-CYSLTR2-1:1". Lineage: Eukaryota; Metazoa; Chordata; Mammalia; Primates; Hominidae. The record is from RNAcentral.
GGGGAUGCUGCGGCCAAGGCCUCCGAGGAGACUCAUGUAAUGGAUUACCGGGCCUUGGUGCAUGAGCGAGAUGAGGCAGCCUAUGGGGAGCUCAGGGCCAUGGUGCUGGACCUGAGGGCCUUCUAUGCUGAGCUUUAUCAUAUCAUCAACAGCAACCUGGAGAAAAUUGUCAACCCAAAGGGUGAAAAGAAGCCAUCUAUGUACUGA